This 76-nucleotide transfer RNA is filed under the name Clostridioides difficile. Its description in RNAcentral is "tRNA-Ala(tgc)". It matches the Rfam family "tRNA". From Rfam's summary of the family: Transfer RNA (tRNA) molecules are approximately 80 nucleotides in length. Their secondary structure includes four short double-helical elements and three loops (D, anti-codon, and T loops). RNAcentral also lists the same sequence under 57 other names. Lineage: Bacteria; Bacillati; Bacillota; Clostridia; Peptostreptococcales; Peptostreptococcaceae. The record is from RNAcentral.
GGGGCCUUAGCUCAGUUGGUAGAGCGCUGCCUUUGCAAGGCAGAUGUCAGGAGUUCGAAUCUCCUAGGCUCCACCA